Molecule: ribosomal RNA, 327 nt
Filed under: uncultured bacterium
Lineage: Bacteria
Description: bacterial SSU rRNA
Rfam family: Bacterial small subunit ribosomal RNA
Source: RNAcentral
GACGAACGCUGGCGGCGUGCUUAAUACAUGCAAGUCAACUUGACUUUAGAUAGCAAUAUCGAAAAGUAGGGUGGCGCACGGGUGCGUAACGCGUAGGUAAUCUGCCCUGAGGUCUGACAUAACCCGUCGAAAGGCGGGCUAACAUCAGAUGAUAUAUAAUCACGACAUCGUGGAAAUAUCAAAUCUUCGGAGCCUUGGGAUGAGCCUGCGUCUGAUUAGGUAGUUGGCGGAGUAAUAGCCCACCAAGCCUACGAUCAGUAGCUGGUCUGAGAGGAUGAUCAGCCACACUGGAACUGAGACACGGUCCAGACUCCUACGGAGGCGAGC